Molecule: long non-coding RNA, 1155 nt
Organism: Helianthus annuus (common sunflower)
Lineage: Eukaryota; Viridiplantae; Streptophyta; Magnoliopsida; Asterales; Asteraceae
Exons: 4
Source: RefSeq, a predicted model, not a curated record
CGCGUAACGACCGCGAACAAGGUUAAUGGCAAGGAACGCCCGUCGGGGCAAACAUUACCAGAAUCAGGAGGGGGCGACCAGGGGUUUCUCCACAAACCCUAAUUCUCACAAAAUCCUCCAAAUUGAAGCUCAAAUCAAGCCCGAAUCGUCUGCAUGAUUACAAAUUCGUGAUCUCCAUUGAAAGGGGAGUCAUAAGUUUGACUCUUGACGAGCUAGGUGAAGCUUGGAGGAGAAGAUCAAACGGGAUAAAGGCACGAAUAAGACUUGCUUGGAUGAAAGGUAAGUAAAACUUACACCCACUUGUAGUAUAUGUGUUUAUUUCAUAACGAUGAAUACAAUAAAGGAUUUGGUUUGAAUCAUGGGUUCCGACCCAAAACGAAAUGAGUCAGAACCAACAAAAAUGUUUUAAACCAUGAUUAAUGGUGAAAAAGGCAAAAUGGUAAAUUAGUCACGAAUUGGUUAAGAAUUAGUGAGUUUUUCUUAAAGUUACCUUAUAGUGUAACUAGUAAUGGAAAAUGGGUAAAAAUGGAAAUUUAGUCAAGUAUCGACUAAAGUAAAAUGAGUUUCAAAGGACACCCAUAGCGUGAGCCGAAUGAGUUUAAAAAAAAUAAAAUAAAAUAAAAUAUAUAUAUAUAUGUGUAUAUAAGAAAUUGACUUUAGAAAGAAAGGGAUCUAGUGAGAAAAUCCGAAAUGGGUCGGAUAUGUGAUUGGUAAUUAAAAACCCAUGUUUUGUUACAUAUGAAAAUGUUGGGUUAUAUAGGUCGAACGGGUCAAAUGGUGGGAACAACGCCAUUUGACAGUAUCAACUAAUGUGGUUGUCAAGUCAUGUGUUUUCAGGGGCGAAUAGUAAUUUGGGUAAUUGCGUCGCCAUAAGAAUAUCGAUAAUGAAAGCAAGGAGUCGAAACGGGUCAUUAGGUUGACUCGAGCCAGGUGAAUGUCGAGAGUCCCGGAUGAAGAUCAAGCAUCGAACAAGAACCGAACACACGUUAAACAAAGCUUCCGCAACGUUGUUUUGUCGUUAUUCUAAACGGCGAAUUAAAUCACAUUAUGUAUAUCACUUAAAUUGUAAAAGUUUUUAACAACCCGUAUUUCUAAUGUAUAUGUAAUUAUUAAUUACAUGAUUAUUUCGCUAAAUAUACGUUAAACCUUGAUUUA